UACAGGGGGGGCAAGCGUUGUUCGGAAUUACUGGGCGUAAAGGGCUCGUAGGCGGCCAACUAAGUCCGACGUGAAAUCCCAAAGCUUAACUUUGGAACUGCGUCGGAUACUGGAUGGCUUGAAUUCGGGAGAGGGAUGCAGAAUUCCAGGUGUAGCGGUGAAAUGCGUAGAUAUCUGGAGGAACACCGGUGGCGAAGGCGGCAUCCUGGACCGACACUGACGCUGAGGCGCGAAAGCUAGGGUAGCAAACGGG
RNAcentral lists this ribosomal RNA (253 nucleotides) under uncultured bacterium. Its description in RNAcentral is "partial 16S ribosomal RNA". It matches the Rfam family "Bacterial small subunit ribosomal RNA", at positions 524 to 776 of the family's 1533-position model. The record is from RNAcentral.